Molecule: non-coding RNA, 518 nt
Organism: Notechis scutatus (mainland tiger snake)
Lineage: Eukaryota; Metazoa; Chordata; Lepidosauria; Squamata; Elapidae
Source: RefSeq, a predicted model, not a curated record
UAGCACAAGUGCCUGACAGUCUGGAUUAUUAUGAAAUAUGAAUGCAAGUUGACUUCACAACAGAUUGUCUAAAAUGUUUGCAUUUCUCUAUGUGUAAAAAUGCUAUCAAAAUUGGAUACAAAUGCAUAUAUUAAUUCAGAAGAUGUUAAAGAUUACAGUAUAACUGAAUCUGAACUUUUCAUUUGGACUAAUGGAUAGGCAACUCAGAAAAAAAAAUCCUGCAACUUUGUUUUCAUGUACAACUGCUGUGAGAUUACUGAUAUGCUGGGAAAAAAAUGGAAAGGUUUGACGCUUCCCACAAUGGAAGAAUGGCUGAUGCAGAUGAUGCAACUUGUGGAGAUGGCUCAAUUAACUUCUUUGAUCAGACAAAAACAAUAUCUACAUUUAUAGCUAACUGGAAAUCCCUUGUAGACUUUGCAUGAAAUGGAAAAAAUGAACUUCUGACUUGUGGUAUUUAUUACCCUAUUAGAAAAAAAGGUUGAUAGAAAAAGUGAGGGGAAGGAGACUGAAGCAGGCCA